UGGGUUGUGGCUCAGUGGUAGAGCACUUGCCUAGCAUGUGUGAGGCACUGGGUUCAAUCCUCAGCACCACAU
RNAcentral lists this transfer RNA (72 nucleotides) under Marmota marmota marmota (Alpine marmot). It matches the Rfam family "tRNA". Rfam says of the family: Transfer RNA (tRNA) molecules are approximately 80 nucleotides in length. Their secondary structure includes four short double-helical elements and three loops (D, anti-codon, and T loops). Lineage: Eukaryota; Metazoa; Chordata; Mammalia; Rodentia; Sciuridae. The record is from Rfam by way of RNAcentral. RNAcentral also lists the same sequence under 5 other names.